RNAcentral lists this ribosomal RNA (765 nucleotides) under uncultured bacterium. RNAcentral's name for it is "bacterial SSU rRNA". It matches the Rfam family "Bacterial small subunit ribosomal RNA", at positions 1 to 749 of the family's 1533-position model. The record is from RNAcentral.
AGGGAGUUUGAUCCUGGCUCAGAAUGAACGCUGGCGGCGUGCUUAAUACAUGCAAGUCGAACGAGAACGUCCCUUCGGGGGCUAGUAAAGUGGCGAACGGAUGAGUAACACGUAGGCAAUCUACCCUUGGGUUUGGGAUAACCUCGGGAAACCGGGACUAAUACCGAACAGUUCCUCAGAGUCGCAUGGCUUUGAGGAUAAAGGCGGGCCGUAAGGUCUGUCGCCCAUGGAGGAGCCUGCGGCUUAUCAGCUUGUUGGUGGGGUAACGGCUCACCAAGGCUAUGACGGGUAGCCGGACUGAGAGGUCGAUCGGCCAUACUGGGACUGAGACACUGCCCAGACUCCUACGGGAGGCUGCAGUAGGGAAUUUUGCGCAAUGGGCGAAAGCCUGACGCAGCGACGCCGCGUGCGGGAUGAAGGCCUUCGGGUUGUAAACCGCUGUCACCCGGGAAGAAGGAUCGGUUGGUUCAUACCCAGCCGAUUCCGACGUAACUGGGAGAGGAAGCACCGGCUAACUCCGUGCCAGCAGCCGCGGUAAUACGGAGGGUGCGAGCGUUAUUCGGAUUCACUGGGCUUAAAGGGCACGUAGGCGGCCGAAUAACUCAGUUGUGGAAUCCUCGGGCUCAACCCGGGAACUGCAAUUGAAAAUGUUCGGCUGGAGGACGGUAGGGGUGAGUGGAACUCAUGGUGGAGCGGUGAAAUGCGUAGAUAUCAUGAGGAACGCCNGGAGGCGAAAGCGACUCACUGGUCCGUUCCUGACGCUGA